AUGGAUGAGUUCAGUGCCAGAAGCAAUAACUGGUCAACACCACUGGGGUCUAAUUGUUCACAGUACGCACCGGUAGCCGGGUUGACCAAGUUUUUCCAAGAUACAAAACGGCGCUUCAGGCCGGUGACCUUGUCCCAUCCGAGCUUCGCCCCAGGAAAAAAUGUAUCUGUGGGGUGGUCAAAGCUCUGCCACAAAACCUUUGUUGAGUUUGAAGAGUCUGUCAGUACAAGAUUUCCACUACUCAACAGCAUAGCAGCAGUGGUGCUAUUUCUUUUGAUGUUUGCUUGUGUAGUCCAGAUCGCGGACUUGGUGGACCGGUUUACGACGACAAGGUUGCCAUCGUGGGAGAUCGUGAGCUCCAGUGAGGUGGUGUUCCUGAUUGGCUUAUCCCUAUUUGCAACCCAUGCUGAAGUGAAUUUCGGUACCGUGUUGAACCAUAUGCCAAGGUACCAGUUGGCGGUGUGUCCAAUCUGGAAGAAGCCAAGCGCGUACCUGCCAUUGCUGGAGAUGAGCUUGUUGUCGACGCCAAGUGCUUGGCCGGGCAAGAUGGUGUCUGUCACGGCAGAACUCGCUGAGGUGUGUAGGCACAAGAGCAUGGUGAAAACAACGAGGACGGGAGUCAUGGUGAACUGA
This 633-nucleotide ribosomal RNA is filed under the name Triticum aestivum (bread wheat). RNAcentral's name for it is "partial small subunit ribosomal RNA". Lineage: Eukaryota; Viridiplantae; Streptophyta; Magnoliopsida; Poales; Poaceae. The record is from RNAcentral.